CAAUAGCGUAUAUUAAAGUUGUUGCAGUUAAAAAGCUCGUAGUUGGAUUUCUGGUAGGAGUGACCGUUCCGAACUUGAUUGUUCGUGUAUUGUGUUUUCUCCAGCCAUCCUUGUGGAGAACUUUUCUUGCAUUAAUUUGUAGGGAUUGGGACCCGCAUCGUUUACUGUGAAAAAAUUAGAGUGUUUAAAGCAGGCAAUCGCUCGAAUACAUUAGCAUGGAAUAAUAAGAUAGGACUUUGGUACUAUUUUGUUGGUUUGCAUACCAAAUUAAUGAUCAACAGGAACAGUUUGAGGAUAUUCGUAUGAACAUGUCAGAGGUGAAAUUCUUGGAUUUUGAUCAGACGAACUACUGCGAAAGCAUUUAUCAAGGAUGUUUUCAUUAA
Molecule: ribosomal RNA, 383 nt
Filed under: uncultured eukaryote
Lineage: Eukaryota
Description: partial 18S ribosomal RNA
Rfam family: Eukaryotic small subunit ribosomal RNA
Source: RNAcentral